Homo sapiens (human) is the source of this 1606-nucleotide long non-coding RNA. Ensembl annotates it as MIR31 host gene. Its record names the gene MIR31HG. Lineage: Eukaryota; Metazoa; Chordata; Mammalia; Primates; Hominidae. The record is from Ensembl.
UGGCGGCCCCGGCGGCGGCGGCAGGUGUGGAUGGGGCGAAGGUGCGGGAACGUCCACUCCCGCGCGCCCCUCUCGGGGACCAGGGCGGCCUCCCAGGAGGAGCUUGGUAGAGACAGAUUCUCUGGAAGUACCUUCUCAAGGCCAGUGUAGAGCUCCCAAUCACCCAGCAGAUUCUCCCUCUCCCACUGCCCGCACCAAGCAGGUCUCCAGGUGUUCCAGCUGCUGAUGAAGUCCAGUGUGGAGUUGGUCCAGGAGGGUCGUGUUCCAGGCAGCAGAGGAGCGCUCUGUGUGGAAGAGGCUGAAGAUCUGCUGCAGCAUCUCAUGGAGGACAGACAGGGCCUGGGCCUGCUGCAACUGGCUGUCAUACACAUCUCCAGGGGAAACCUGAAGUCUCUUCUGUCCUUGAGACACAAGAAAGGGGAGAUCCAUUUCAUUUGGCCCAGAAGCACCAACGUCUUCCUUCCUGUCAGACCAUGGUUCUGAGUCAGGUCACAUCCCAGAGAUCAAAAAGAGCCACAGCUGCACACAACUAGGACCACCACUAGAGAGUGAAGAUGGAGUCUCAGUCACCAGGCUGGAGUGCAGUGGCACAAUCUCAGCUCACUGCAACCUUCACCUCCUGGGUUCAAGCAAUUCCCCUGCCUCAGCCUCUCGAGUAGCUGGGACUACAGGUGCUCACCACCAUGCCUGGCUAAUUUUUUUUAUUUUAGUAGAGUCGGGGUUUCACCAUGUUGGCCAGGCUGGUCUCGAUCUCCUGAUCUCAUGAUCCACCUGCCUCGGCCUCCCAAAGUGCUGAGAUUAUAGGUUUGAGCCACCAUGACUGGCCGAAUUUUUGUAACUUCUUUUCACAUAGUGGUUUACUGGGUAAGGUGUAUCUUGCUUCUCCUACAUGAUAUUCUUAUUUAUGAUGAAUUAAAACAAAUAAAGAAAAGUAAAAGAAAGGCAAAGGAACCAUAUUGUUCUUCUCCAUAAUUUUCAAGAUUUCAGAUUUUUUGUCUCUCAUUUCAACUUUCCUAGAAAGCAAACCUCAACAAUUGCUUAUAUAUUAAAAACAAAACAAAUAUAAGCCUGAAUAUCAGGAAGUAAGAGAAGUGACUUUCUGCUGACAAAAUAGCAAAACAUAUGUUAGCAAAAUUCAGUGCAGCAAAAUUAGAGACUAGGGACUCUGUCCCAGGGGAAGGAUGAAUGUCAUUGUUGAGGUACACAAAAGCAAGGGAAACGGCUGCUUCUGCCAGAGCCUCACAGAAGAGCAACUCCUGGGUCAAUGGAUUGUCCUCAGCUUUGCAAGACCAGCCACCUGCUCUUCUUUCAUUGAAUGCAGAUGUUAUCACCUCUGAGGUAAGAAAGGAGGAGUCACACCAACCAACUCACAGUAGACUGGCAACAAGACCCCAGUUGCUAGAACACUAGUCCUCUCUGGCAUGAUAAUGAAUAUUAGCCUUGCCUUAGCACCGUACCUAGUUAAAAAAUCCACCCAGGAAAUGAAAAGAUGGCAUUUAGAAACCUGCAAAGAAACAGAAUUUGAUUUCCCAAAAGAUUCUGCUCCUAGUUGUGUUAUAACAAUGGUGAUUUUUUUAAAAGAUAACACCAAAAUUAUUGCAUUAUA